CACUCCUGCGGGAGGCAGCAGUGGGGAAUAUUGGACAAUGGGCGCAAGCCUGAUCCAGCCAUGCCGCGUGAGUGAUGAAGGCCCUAGGGUUGUAAAGCUCUUUCACCGGUGAAGAUAAUGACGGUAACCGGAGAAGAAGCCCCGGCUAACUUCGUGCCAGCAGCCGCGGUAAUACGAAGGGGGCUAGCGUUGUUCGGAUUUACUGGGCGUAAAGCGCACGUAGGCGGACUAUUAAGUCAGGGGUGAAAUCCCGGGGCUCAACCCCGGAACUGCCUUUGAUACUGGUAGUCUUGAGUUCGAGAGAGGUGAGUGGAAUUCCGAGUGUAGAGGUGAAAUUCGUAGAUAUUCGGAGGAACACCAGUGGCGAAGGCGGCUCACUGGCUCGACACUGACGCUGAGGUGCGAAAGCGUGGGGAGCAAACAGGAUUAGAAACCCGAGUAGUCCCA
Molecule: ribosomal RNA, 447 nt
Filed under: uncultured organism
Description: partial 16S ribosomal RNA
Rfam family: Bacterial small subunit ribosomal RNA
Source: RNAcentral